UGUAGCUGUGUCAAAUUCAGUGCCUGUCCUAAUGAUGGCAUGCACUGGCCCAGAAGGCUGCCAUAGAAACUGUGACUCCUGAGACCUGUUCCCAUGCCAGGUUCAGGAUGAAUUUAGUCACACACAUCA
This is a small nucleolar RNA of Rattus norvegicus (Norway rat), 129 nucleotides long. Ensembl annotates it as small nucleolar RNA SNORA5. NCBI's taxonomy places the organism in Eukaryota, Metazoa, Chordata, Mammalia, Rodentia, Muridae. The record is from Ensembl.